AGAGUUUGAUCAUGGCUCAGGACGAACGCUGGCGGCGUGCUUAACACAUGCAAGUCGAACGGAAAGGCCCUUCGGGGUACUCGAGUGGCGAACGGGUGAGUAACACGUGGGUGAUCUGCCCUGCACUUUGGGAUAAGCCUGGGAAACUGGGUCUAAUACCGAAUAGGACCACGCGCUUCAUGGUGUGUGGUGGAAAGCUUUUGCGGUGUGGGAUGGGCCCGCGGCCUAUCAGCUUGUUGGUGGGGUAAUGGCCUACCAAGGCGACGACGGGUAGCCGGCCUGAGAGGGUGACCGGCCACACUGGGACUGAGAUACGGCCCAGACUCCUACGGGAGGCAGCAGUGGGGAAUAUUGCACAAUGGGCGAAAGCCUGAUGCAGCGACGCCGCGUGAGGGAUGACGGCCUUCGGGUUGUAAACCUCUUUCAGUAGGGACGAAGCGAAAGUGACGGUACCUACAGAAGAAGGACCGGCCAACUACGUGCCAGCAGCCGCGGUAAUACGUAGGGUCCGAGCGUUGUCCGGAAUUACUGGGCGUAAAGAGCUCGUAGGUGGUUUGUCGCGUUGUUCGUGAAAACUCACAGCUUAACUGUGGGCGUGCGGGCGAUACGGGCAGACUAGAGUACUGCAGGGGAGACUGGAAUUCCUGGUGUAGCGGUGGAAUGCGCAGAUAUCAGGAGGAACACCGGUGGCGAAGGCGGGUCUCUGGGCAGUAACUGACGCUGAGGAGCGAAAGCGUGGGGAGCGAACAGGAUUAGAUACCCUGGUAGUCC
This 771-nucleotide ribosomal RNA is filed under the name uncultured bacterium. Its description in RNAcentral is "bacterial SSU rRNA". It matches the Rfam family "Bacterial small subunit ribosomal RNA", at positions 8 to 796 of the family's 1533-position model. The record is from RNAcentral.